GGGAAGGUGACUUGGCCGCAUUUCCAACAUUAAAAUUUAAAGCGAGUUGCAGCAUCCUCCUACGCCGUAGGUAGGGCCGGGGGGGCCGGGGGCUGCGGGAGGAGGAGUUUGCGCGGCCGCCUCUUCCUCAGGGAUGCUCUGGGAAAGCUCCAGCACAAAGGAGCGGCGCGGAGGGCAGAAGCGAGCGGAGCCGGCGCCCCCCAGCCCCAACCCGGUCUCCGGGAGCAGAAUCCUCACCAAGAAUAGGGCUCCUGCCAGGUAAAUGGAUUCUUGCCUGAUUUUCAAUGCCCCUGGGAAGAAUUGUAGCCAAAAUGCUGGUUUACUGCUUUGUCUCCUAAUCCCCGUUUUCUCCUAAAGCUGGGGAUCCUGGGUGGGGAUUAGAGGCGAGGCUGGGGCCAACACUCCUGGGGCACAGCACAGCCCCUCCUUCAGAGUUAACCUGACAGAUGCUCCUCUUGCGGAGCCAUUUUCUCUCCCUCAUUGUCUUGCAGCCUUUUGUGUGUGUGAGUAGGUCCUGCCCAGGGCCCCAGGAGGAGCCCAGAAAUAAUCAGGUUUUCUGACGUUCUGGGUUUUCAGGGAGCCUUUCACACCCUCACCCUCCCUUCUCCCAGGCUGCCCAGCCUCAGAGCUGCAGACAAAGGUGGUAGUGCCUGGCACUGCUGCAGCAGCACGGGAGCCUGGGAUGUGCCAGAGCCUAGGCUCUGCUGGAUGGCAGCAAGGGUCAGGCAGCGCUGGCAGGGCCCAGGGCAAAGGUAUUUGGCCACCCUGCUGGGAGCUGGGGGACUGGGGUGCCCAGAUGCCACAUCCCACAGAUCAUCUCUCUGGGCACAGGCAGCUCAUGGCAAUGCCGUGCCUGCUGUGGCCUUAUCUCCCUGCUCCUGCCUGCUGUGGAGCCUGUGCUCCUCUUUACUCCAAGGGGGGGUCUAGCCCCUGUUUAACCCAGGUGCUCAGCAGCACCGUAUGUGCCACCCACCCUGUGUGGCAGAGGAAGCUCUGGCUCAUGGCUGGCAAUCACUGCUCACUGUGCCCCAGACAGAGUGUUUAGCUGAGCCCUGCCUGCACAAAAUUGUUUUCCCUCCCUGUCUCCUGGGAUGUGUUUCAUUCCCGGGUGAGAGAGGCCAUCCCACAGCCAUCAUGUCCCGCCUGCCUCACCACAGGCACCUCCCGCUCUGAUCCCACCUCCCGCUCAGAUCCAGGCAGGGGAUCCAUUUGUCAGAUGCUCGAUGGCAUCUCCGGAGCUCAUUCCCGCAGCUGGGUUGCAAAUGCUGCCUGGACAUGCUGUCCCCAUGGGAGGGACUGUCCUGCCAGCAGUGCCUGCGGCAUGUGGUGACAAUGAACAGCAGGAAGCUGGAGCAGCUUCACAGCUGAACAUGCAGAGUCAUCACGGCCCAGCUCCCCCAGGACCUGCUGCAGUCCUGGCUUUUCCAGGUGGGCAGGGCAGGAGCAGGGCAGCAGCAGGAGAAAGGCAGGAGCAGGAGCAGAGCAGGAGCAGGAACCGGAGCAGGUCAGAAACAGGAGCAGGGCAGAAGCAGGAACAGGGCAGGCAGUGUGGCUGGCUGCAGACAUGGGCUGGCUGCUGGCACCAGCCACGUGUCCCUGUAUCCCUGUGGAGGUGGAGUAGCAUCCACCACAGUGCAGUUGUGACUGCCAGCUGUCCCAGUACAACUGGUGCCUGCGAAACCACAGGGUCCCAGUGACCCAGCUUAACCACAGGGCAGGAGCAGAGCUGGCAGAGGCAGCAGUGGCAGUGGCAGUGAAAGUCAGUCCCUGCCCCCAGUGCAGGGGUUCCCACACCAGGUAGGGACAGUCUGGGGCAUUGCCACCAUUUCUGAUGUGGUGGUUCCUGGUGCCCCCCUGUGCCUGGUGGUGGGUCUAGCUCCCCGCUCUUCAAGGGGAAAGGGACAGGAGGAUCCCUGCCCAGCCCUCCUGCCAGGCUCCUGCCAGCUUGGCUCGGCUCUGCCUGAGGACGGUGCCGUGUGUCUCUCCCUUGCUGCGUUGGUUGUUUCUUUUGCAGCUGCUAAUGACUGACCUGAAGUCUGUUCACACAGUCCCCUCGCGGCCUCCACAGCGCAGAGCCACACAGGAUGGGGGGACAUUGCACGGCACUUGCAUAGCUGGUGACCACAGUGCCACCACCCCAGAGGCACGGCCUCAGCUCCUGCCUGGCCAGACCGGCUGUGCCUGGAGAGGAGCCAGGCUCGGGGAGCUGACAUCGCCACCUGCACACAAUGCCAGAGCCGGGCUGGCCCCAGCAGAGCAGCCUGGUGCUCAGUGCCAUGGGCCAGAGCCAUGAGCCUGGCCACUGCGGGGGACACAGCCGAGGACACGGCGCUGGGGACACCUGAGGACACGGGUCUGCACGUGCUCGCGGUUUUCCUGCAAGGUGCUGGGGUCCCCUUCCCUUCCGCUGCUCCACCCCAGCCAUGGGCAGGAUGAGACCCAUCCCCUUCCCCCAGUGUAGGGAGAGGGAGAAGAGGAAGGCUACAGGGAUGGAGCUGUGCCAGCUCCUCAAUGAGACACAAUGGCCAGAGCACAAAGGGAUUCUGGUUGUCCCCACUGAUCCUGCCUGUCCUUCUGUCUGUUGGUGAAGUCCUGGUGCUUUCUGCCCUGGAACUGCCUUGCAGUGCUAGUGUUGUGUUCCAGCAGGACCCUGUCUCCCCUGCCCUGUGGAGCAGCCUGGAGUGUGUGGAGGGACAUGGGCAGUGAAUCCUCCUCCCAUGACCUCUGUGGGGGUGGCAGUGGCCCAGUAAGUGGCUGGGCUGUGGCUGCACCGAGCAGUCACUCCAGCCCCUGUCUCUACACAGGAGGGAGAGCUGGGAAUGAGGUGGGCUGGGGGCUGAGGGCAGACACAGCUUGUGGCAGGUGUUAGAGCCUUGAAGUCCAAGCUGGAAAAGCAUCCUCUUGGGGACCAGCAGGAGUUAGUGCUGCAGGAGGAGGUAACCCAGAGGGACAUGGGGCAGAGGGUGUCCUGGGUGCCCCACCACAGCCCUGUUUCUCAGGGCACAGUGCUCUUACUGCCCCUCAGAGCACUGCUUAGCUCCAUGGAGAGGCAGCUUCUGACAGGGAAGGGGUAAGCUGUGGACCACUUUUCCUCUGCUCCAUGGCAUGGUUUUCCCUGCUGAAUCUCUUCCUCCCUUCACAGGCAAUGGGAGCUCGGUGGAGACCCAGAGCAGCUCUCUGCAGAAGCCCUGCUCUUGCAGAGCUGCCCGUAGCCUUGCCCCAGGCAUGGUCAGUGAUGCUUUCACCCCUUUCCUCUCUGCUUCUUCCAGCUCCUUUAGUGCCCUGACCUGAGUCACUGCCUUGCACUGCUGGGACUGUCUCCUCCAUGCAUCCAGUCUCCCACCCUCACCAGUACCAGGAGUGGGAAACACACUCUGUGUGGGGACACACUGCUUGGGGCAUUUGGUACCUCACUGGCCUGGAUGAGAGGGGCAGAUCCUUGCAAAGCAUUUAACUCAGAACAGGUUACAUCAUGCAGGGUAAACCCUCCAAUAACACCUUCCCAAAUCUCGAUGUGGUAGCAACGCCCCAAAACGCCUCCUGCUCUUGUGAGCCAGAGCCCUGCUGCUCCCUGGGCCCGGCUCUGCAUGCUGCCGCUGCGCUCCGACAUUAACCUACUAACCCGCUGGGACCCUGUGCCCUCACCGGGGGCUGGCACAGCCCCUGGCACACGGACUAACCCACUAACUGGCCCCAGUGCAUGCCCUACUAACCCACAGCCAGCCCUGCCUCACACCCACUAACUGUGGCAGCAGUGCUGCCUUUAAAGGGGAACGGAAAAGCUGGGAAAGGAGGUUUGGAAGUGCCAGGUGUCAGUGCCAGGCUGUACAGGCAGGGACGGGCAAGGGCAGCCCCAGCUGUGGGCAGGAGAGGGGAUUGGCAGCCCCUGCCCAGCAUUGGGCCGUGUCCAUCAAGCUUUGCCUAUACAGGCAGCCCCAGCCCCAGCUGUGAGCAGGAGGGAGGACUGGCAGCCCCUGCCCAUGCAAGCAGCCCCUGUUCUGGGCAGGAGAGGGGACCAGCAGUCCCUGCCCCAGGCAGGAGAGGGAACCAGCAGCCCCUGCCCUGGGCAGCCCUUGCCAGCACGAGGAGAGGGUUUCUCCUCGCACGCCCUGCCCGGCUCUGCCCGUGAGCCUGUUGCUGACUAGGAGCCUAAAACGGUUUUAUCAGCAGAAGCUUUUCAGUUCCUUUUUAAGCCAGUAGAUCUCUGUUACUAACACAUUCCUGAACUGAAUUAAACAAACUAACCAUUGCUGCUUUUCUCUUCAUUUCUCUUCCAGUGUGUGUGUCCUAAGGCAGACCAGUGCCCUGCUUCUGUUACUAACCUGUACUUCUGUUAGCACUGUACUAAUCGUUCCUGACCUGUUUCUCUCUUGCUACUAACCAACUCUCUUUGCACUUUGCCUCUCGGAUGCUAUUUGCCAUGACAAGUGACGGUGGCUCCUCCUGGACUUCUGGUUAUCAACCUGCAGCACCCCAAUUUUCAGUGCUGCUGAGCAUUCCUGGCUCCCAUUCGGUGCGAUGGGAAGGAAGAUGCCUUUACUGGAGGGUUUUGAAAAUUUCCCCAUUUGCCUUCUGUUUUCCGAGAAAUUUCAUGUGGCACAAUGAGGAAAAGAGGCUGAGAGGCAGUAGGACAAUACAAAACCAUUAAUAAUGACCAGUAAUGGCUGUAAAGAUCCAGCAAACCCAGAGAGAUUCAGCCACAGAGUGAUGCUAUUGCCCUUGAGCCCCACCAGAGCCUGAGUUUGGAGCUCUCCUGGGGCCCCACGUCAUCUGUCAUGGGGAAUGGUCUUGUGCUGCUCCCUGAAUUGGCUCUCGGACACUCCCAGGCUCCUCUCUUCACUCCCUUUGUCUUUCCACAGUUUAUCUUGUGCCUGGUGCAUGUGGAAGCUGUUGCCAGCAGCGUGGGCGUGACUAACCAUACCUGUGUGUGACAGCUGGGCUGGUAAUGAGCCAAGGGCAGGAGGGGGCAGUGGGUGUCAGAGGGGGCUCUGCCAUCAGGCUGUGAUGGAGGCACGGCCUGGGCUUUGCUUUCUGUUUGUCUGUCAGUUGGAGGAACGUUCCCAACCUCUCAGGGGUCCUGCCAAGGUGAAGGCUCCAGGACCUGGCCCAUCAGUGUAGGUUUGGACAUGGGCUGGUGACCCAGGGCCAGGCACCACCAGUGUUCAGGACUGCCAUGACCAGCGGGGCAAAGCCAAGCCCUGUGUGCCAGCAGAGGAUGGUGGCCCUGUGCUGCUGGUAGGCAUGGGCUGGCUCAUGAGGACACCCCAGACCGUGGCUGCUGUGGGGACACAGCAGUGUGGGGCUGUCCCCACCAAGGGUCAGGGCAGCUCUGUCUGCGGGUUACAGAUCCAGGCAGCAUCCAGCUCUGGCUGCUCUUUCUUGGCUUUGCUUUAUGCUCACUAACCCCAUGGUCUCCCCAGUCACUAUCACUGGCUGGUGUCACCAUCACCCCACAGCAGCUCCUGCCUUCAAUGGAAGGCAGAACCAGAGUGGGGUCCCCCUGGAGGGCUGGGUCCACCCCCUAAUGCUGCCACUACUCCUGGGCAUCCCAGCUCUGCACUGACACAAGCGUGCUCCUGCAGCUGGGGUGUCACUGGGCUCUCAGGCUGAUGGGGGUCCCCUCCUCACCCAGCUCCGUGUCUGUCCAACCUACACCUUAUUCCACUAACCAUGUGCCUACCCUUCCCCCACACAGCUGGCACCAGGGUGGGUUUUUGGGCUGAUGCUCCUAUGUUUGAUGGAAGGGGGACACAGGGCCCUGCUGUGGGCUGGGGGCAGAGGAGGAAGCAGGGCUGUGGGGACAGGAAUGGGCUAGGAGGACAAGCCAGGUUGGGCACAGGGUGGGCGGGUUCAGGGCUCCUGCACAGGUAGGAGCACCACCAGCACUGGGCUGGGGUUGUCAGAGCCCACCAUUGUGAGGGACUCUCCUCCCUGCCCCAUAACCCCUCUUUCUGCUCCAGAGCAGCCCUCCUGCACCCAGGGGGACCUCCCCAGGCUGGUCACUGAGGGGAGUCAUGGGACCACAAGUCACCCUGAUAGCUAAGAGGAUGCACUGGGCAAAUGUGGCCCUCCAGGGGCAGCCAAUGCUGCCCACAGACCCGUCAGUGGGGACAGGCCACUUUGGGUAGCUGCUCCCCUUGCAGAGCCACCAUUGCUGAGCUGAGCAGGUCUGGAGGGCAGGGAGGCUUCCCCAAACAGCCUGGUUGCUCCUUUCCUCUGCUCCAGCACCUUGGGGCUCCCUGCCCCUGCUCCCCAAUUCCUGCAGCUGGCAGAGGAGUUGGUCAGUCUGUCUGUCUGUUUCUCCCACUUCGCUGGUGCAGGGAGGAGUGGGGCUGGGGCACCCCAGCAGCAACAUGGGCAGAGGUCAGAAGGUGUCACUCAGCCCUGGGUGCACCAUCUUGCCCAGGGUGCUCCAGACCAAGCUGGCCGGGACUGCCCCUGCUCUGCAGGACCCCACACUCACCCCAUGUCAGCACGGUGGGAGCGGGCACAGCCACGGUGGGACUGGACUGGACACUGGAGUAGGGCGUGGGGAUGCUCUGGGGCAAGGAGUCCUGGAGUGGCCUCAGCGGUGUGAGCAGGAAUCCCGCAGGUCACCACGGCCCUGAGGAUGAACCCACAGCCCCGAGGAUGUCCCCGCUGCCUGUAAUGUCUACUGUGAACAUGGCAAGUGUGCAACCA
Pipra filicauda (Wire-tailed manakin) is the source of this 6681-nucleotide long non-coding RNA. RefSeq lists it as uncharacterized. The transcript is spliced from 3 exons. The record is from RefSeq and is a predicted model, not a curated record. Lineage: Eukaryota; Metazoa; Chordata; Aves; Passeriformes; Pipridae.